RNAcentral lists this ribosomal RNA (624 nucleotides) under Triticum aestivum (bread wheat). RNAcentral's name for it is "partial small subunit ribosomal RNA". The record is from RNAcentral. Lineage: Eukaryota; Viridiplantae; Streptophyta; Magnoliopsida; Poales; Poaceae.
AUGGAGUGGAGGAACGCGGCUUCCAUCUCUGCAGAGGCACUUCUCCUGAGCAAGCACAUCGCGUACUCCAUCAUCGAUGCAUCGCAGGGCAGCGUGAUUCUGCCACUGUCAACGCCUGCGAAGCCGAACUCCUCUUGGGACAUCCUGAAGAGCUCGCCGAAGACUGUCGUGCCAAGGAACGCAAGCGGCACCUCGAACCUCACACCGUCGGUGGUGUACACGAUGAAGUGUCCCUUGCCGGCCACCGAUGAGCAUGAUGUGCCACACGGCCCUCCGGUUUCUUCCGCUGACGUUGAUGACGACCAGGCAAACUGCUCAAGACAGAAGACAUCAUCAGCGUCUACGCCUGCUGUUCUUCAGCAGCUACAAACAGCAAAUCUGUUUGCUGGCUCCAACGGGCAGCGUGAUCUCGCCAUGGCUCGCGAAGCCAAACUCCUCCCGAGACAUCCUCAGGAGCUCGCCAAUGACCGUCGUGCCGAGGUACAGCAGCGGGACCUCGAAGCGCCUCCCGUCGGCCGUGUACAUGACGCAGUGGCCCUUGGCCGGUGCAGAGGUGCAGCAUCCUUGGUCUUCCUUGGCCGUCACGGUGAUGCUGUUGAGCUGGGCCGUUGGCUGGAUUUAUAG